This 86-nucleotide non-coding RNA is filed under the name Timonella senegalensis. RNAcentral's name for it is "TPP riboswitch (THI element)". It matches the Rfam family "TPP riboswitch aptamer (THI element)", at positions 9 to 90 of the family's 105-position model. From Rfam's summary of the family: Vitamin B(1) in its active form thiamin pyrophosphate (TPP) is an essential coenzyme that is synthesised by coupling of pyrimidine and thiazole moieties in bacteria. The previously detected thiamin-regulatory element, thi box was extended, resulting in a new, highly conserved RNA secondary structure, the THI element, which is widely distributed in eubacteria and also occurs in some archaea. Analysis of operon structures identified a large number of new candidate thiamin-regulated genes, mostly transporters, in various prokaryotic organisms. The record is from RNAcentral. Lineage: Bacteria; Bacillati; Actinomycetota; Actinomycetes; Micrococcales.
ACAGGGGAGCGCAUAUGCGCUGAGAGUGCUGAUUUCAGCAGACCCUCGAACCUGAUCCGGUUAGUGCCGGCGUAGGGAGUCGGGCU